CCUACGGGAGGCAGCAGUGGGGAAUAUUGGUCAAUGGGCGAAACCCUGAUGCAGCGAAGCCGCGUGAGUGAAGAAGUCUCUCGGUAUGUUAAGCUCUAUCAGCAGGGAAGAAGAAAGACGGUACCUUACUAAGAAGCACCGGCGAACUACGUACCAGCAGGCGCGGUAAUUCGGAGGCGGCAAGCGUUAUCCGGAGUUACUGGGUGUAAAGGGAGCGUAGACGGCUGUGCAAGUCUGAAGUGAAAGCCUAGGGGUCAACCCUGGGACUGCGUUGGAAACUGUGGAGCUAGAGUGCUGGAGAGGUAAGUGGAAUUCGUAGUGUAGCGGUGAAAUGCGUAGAGAUUAGGCAGAACACCGGUGGCGAAGGCAGCUUACUGGACAGUGACUGACGUUGAGGCUCGAAAGCGUGGGGAGCAAACAGGAUUAGAUACCCGUGUAGUC
Molecule: ribosomal RNA, 441 nt
Filed under: uncultured bacterium
Lineage: Bacteria
Description: partial 16S ribosomal RNA
Rfam family: Bacterial small subunit ribosomal RNA
Source: RNAcentral